This 814-nucleotide long non-coding RNA is filed under the name Trifolium pratense (red clover). Its description in RNAcentral is "long non-coding RNA (TPRA_LNC008829)". The record is from RNAcentral. Lineage: Eukaryota; Viridiplantae; Streptophyta; Magnoliopsida; Fabales; Fabaceae.
CUCUCCCUCCUCUAUUUUUAUUUCCUUUCUCUCACCAAUUCAAAAUCUGAUAAUGGCUCCUCUUUAUUUUUCUCUCGGUACAACAAACAAGAUUUAGGGUUUUCUUUUCUCAAACCCAUCCUCCCCCCUCCAUCUUUUCAUCGCUACCAGGGUUCUGUUUUGUUCAAUAGGUAUUGUCAAAAACCCCCAAAUUUCUAUUCCUUUGUUUUUAAUAUUUCAAGUUCAAAAUGUAUUGUAAAAACCCCCAAAUGUUUAGUCUUUUGUUCUGAAAAAGCUCGUUUUGAUUUUAGUUAGGUUUUGAUUUUUCUCUGUUUUGUAGGAUAUUUCCAACGUUUGAACAAUUGUUGAAGUUAUUAAGUGACAUUGAAGAGAAAAUUGAAGAAGAUUCAGGUAAGUAAAUUGUUAGUUGAGAUUGGGUAUUUUGUUUUAUGGUGUUUUUGUUUUUAUGAUUUGGAUUUUUGCGUCUUCUGUUGGUUUUGUAAGGGUUAAAUGCAUGUAUUUUUAUUUCUUUGUAAAGUUAAAUUAAAACUAGUAUUUUAGAAAUCCUUUAAAGGUUAGCUGUCAAAGUUUUAUUGUUGAUGUGGUUUUUCAAAGAGGUAUGUUUUUGCUUUCUCUUUGAGUGGUUUGUUUUGUCUCUGCAGCUGCUUCUUUUGGUGCUCUGAUGGUAUAACUGUGAAUGAUUUUUUGGUUUUGCAGUGUCUUUGGUUUGAGGCUCAUUGUAUCUGUUUUUUUAGCAGAUAUUUUGAGUUUGUAACGACCCAAUUUUCAUAUUAUUAUUUUUAUGUGUUAAAAUAUUUUAUUUAACGUGGCAUUU